GAAGUAAAAGUUGUAACAAGGUUUCCGUAGGUGAACCUGCGGAAGGAUCAUUCAUAAUAAGUGUUUUACUGCACUUUUUAAAAAUAGUACUCACCUUGUGUGCAAUGUUGUGUUUCUUUUCGGAGAAACACCUACACCAACCUAUAACCUUGAACCACUUUGUCUGAAAAACUAUUAUGAAUACUUAAUUCAAAAUACAACUUUCAACAACGGAUCUCUUGGCUCUC
Molecule: unclassified non-coding RNA, 227 nt
Filed under: plant metagenome
Description: partial contains small subunit ribosomal RNA, internal transcribed spacer 1, and 5.8S ribosomal RNA
Rfam family: Eukaryotic small subunit ribosomal RNA (bases 1-53)
Source: RNAcentral